RNAcentral lists this long non-coding RNA (214 nucleotides) under Phoenix dactylifera (date palm). RNAcentral's name for it is "long non-coding RNA (PDAC_LNC005712)". The record is from RNAcentral. Lineage: Eukaryota; Viridiplantae; Streptophyta; Magnoliopsida; Arecales; Arecaceae.
UUAUUUCUGUGUAAGGGGGGUUUAUGCAAGUUGUGUAUUUGGGCCCUAUAUAUAGGGAACUAUUUUCAUGAUUAGGGUUUAAUGAAGAAUUAAGAAUUUCUUUCCCCCACGUUUUCCUCUUCUUCUCUUCUCCUCCCUUCUCUUUCUUCUCUUCUUCUUCCUCCUUCUCUUCCCCUCUUCUUCUGCUUCCAUUUUAAAUUUGGUCCGGCAUCAC